AAAGGGAGACCUAAUUCGGGUAGAAGACGAAAAAAUAGUAGUCGAAACCAAGAAUCAAUCCCAAAAGGUCGGAACGAGGUAUGUGGCUUUCAAACUAGGUUCUGGGUUCAUAAAAGACCUGAAUCAGGAACAAGGGCUAUUAGCUCAGGUGGUUAGAGCGCACCCCUGAUAAGGGUGAGGUCCCUGGUUCGAGUCCAGGAUGGCCCACCUGCACAGGUGGCAAAAACAAGAGAAACGAGGAAUCAGCACCUUAUCUUACUUACAUAGUAAGAGAGAAUGCUGGCUCUGAGUAAAGAGUCCAGAGGAACCUUGAAAACUGCAUAGAGCUAGGUGAAAAAGCCAAAAAAGAAGACCGCAAG
This 359-nucleotide transfer RNA is filed under the name uncultured Microcystis sp. RNAcentral describes it as "partial 16S-23S ribosomal RNA intergenic spacer". The stretch from base 134 to 207 matches the Rfam family "tRNA". The record is from RNAcentral. Lineage: Bacteria; Bacillati; Cyanobacteriota; Cyanophyceae; Chroococcales; Microcystaceae.